AUACGGAGGAUGCAAGCGUUAUCCGGAUUUAUUGGGUUUAAAGGGUGCGUAGGCGGAUGAUUAAGCGUGAGGUGAAAUGCCACUGCUCAACAGUGGAACUGCCUCGCGAACUGGUUGUCUUGAAUGCUCCUGCCGUGGGAGGAAUGUGUGGUGUAGCGGUGAAAUGCAUAGAGAUCACACAGAACACCGAUUGCGAAGGCAUCUCACGAAGGGGUGAUUGACCCUGAGGCACGAAAGCGUGGGGAUCAAACAGGAUUAGAUCCCCUGGUAGUCCACGCAGUAAACGAUGAUAACUAACCGCUGGGUCGUAGUGAUUCAGUGGCCAAGCGAAAGCGAUAAGUUAUCCACCUGGGGAGUACGCCCGCAAGGUUGAAACUCAAAUGAAUUGACGGGG
RNAcentral lists this ribosomal RNA (394 nucleotides) under uncultured bacterium. RNAcentral describes it as "partial 16S ribosomal RNA". It matches the Rfam family "Bacterial small subunit ribosomal RNA", at positions 523 to 918 of the family's 1533-position model. The record is from RNAcentral.